GAUGGCGUCACAGCUUGAGUGAUGGAGAGAUGCCCAGCAAGGGGCAGGGGAUUUAGCUUAGUGGUUCCACCGCCUGCCUCGCAAACACAAGGUCCCAAGUUCGAUCCCCGUACCAAAAAAAAAAAAAAAAAAAAAUGCCCAGCAACACGCAACAGAACGAAACUAAAAACAACAACUGUCCAGGCUGGGCGUAGGGGCGCACGCCUAGGACUCCAGCCCUCGGGAGGCUGAGGCGGGAGGAUCACUGCGAGUUCAAGAUCGGCCUGGGCUAGGCAGCGAGACCCUGUCUCAAAACAAAAAGGAAUGAGUGGCAUCGUCCUCUCCCUGGACUUUGGGGUGGGACUCGGAACUCCUCCGGAAGGAAGAUGAAAAGCGUGGUCUCUGCCAGGGAGGAAGGGGUGAUGCUCCGUGCGCAGAUUAGAGAGUCAAACAGUCUGUUUGACUAAGAUGGUAGAUCCUGGAUGGUGCAGCGCCAGGAGACAGCUACGGCUGGCCUCAAACUCCUGGGCUCAAGUGACCUUCCUGCUUCAGCCUCCUGAGGAGCUGGGACUACAGAUGCAUCCCCCUCGCCCAGUGGAUUG
This 581-nucleotide long non-coding RNA is filed under the name Heterocephalus glaber (naked mole-rat). RNAcentral describes it as "lncRNA (ENSHGLG00100033472.1)". Lineage: Eukaryota; Metazoa; Chordata; Mammalia; Rodentia; Bathyergidae. The record is from RNAcentral.